ACGCUCGACACCUACGGAGGCAGCAGUUGGGAAUAUUGGACAAUGGAGGAAACUCUGAUCCAGUGACGCCGCGUGAAGGAAGAAGGUCUUCGGAUUGUAAACUUAUUUUGUCAGGGAAGAAAAAAUGACUGUACCUGAAGAAAAAGACACCGGCUAACUACGUGCCAGCAGCCGCGGUAAUCUGAGCGGGCUGGCAAGGC
This 200-nucleotide ribosomal RNA is filed under the name uncultured bacterium. RNAcentral describes it as "partial 16S ribosomal RNA". It matches the Rfam family "Bacterial small subunit ribosomal RNA", at positions 328 to 539 of the family's 1533-position model. The record is from RNAcentral.